Molecule: ribosomal RNA, 128 nt
Filed under: uncultured bacterium
Lineage: Bacteria
Description: partial 16S ribosomal RNA
Rfam family: Bacterial small subunit ribosomal RNA
Source: RNAcentral
UACGUAGGGGAGAAUGGAAUUCCCGGUGUAGCGGUGAAAUGCGCAGAUAUCGGGAGGAACACCGGUGGCGAAGGCGGUUCUCUGGGCCUUACCUGACGCUGAGGAGCGAAAGCGUGGGGAGCAAACAG